This 1715-nucleotide non-coding RNA is filed under the name Pan troglodytes (chimpanzee). The record is from RNAcentral. Lineage: Eukaryota; Metazoa; Chordata; Mammalia; Primates; Hominidae.
CCCCAACCUAAGAGUGCACAUCUGUGUGCCUAGCCUGAUCCAGGAUUCACGUGAGGGACCUGUGUCUGUCUAUCCCACUAGCUUAGGGGCAGGAUCCUUUGAGCCUAUCCACCCACUGCCCUGGCACCAGGCUGCUGGGCUGGGGCCCACUACCCAUCCCACCUCCUCAUCCUCAGGCAGCGGGGGCAGGGGUGAGCUGGGAGAGCAUUCACGCUCGCGCACAGAGGGGCUGUUGCGCAUCCAGGCGCGGCAGAUUGGGUACAGUGGCGUGUUCUCGCUGAACUGGGCCAAGUCCACGCUCCGGUCGAACAGCUUGAUCACAUAUGUGUCUGGGAAGGUGGGGAUGGGAGGUGUGUGAGCAUCCUUGCAUAGCCCCUUGGCUCCUUACCGACCCUCUAGGGCCACUGCCUACUCACUGGAUCGCUGCGGCCCUCCCUCAGCCAGCCCAUCAUCCAUCUCCCUCCUCUUCUUCCUCCGCUGGUGGGGGAAGCGGGCAGAUGGCCUGCGUAGGGAGAGGGAGUGUCAGGACUGGGGUAGGAGCUGGGAGCCUCUAGUCAGCUGGCUGGGACCCUGCCACCUUACCUUUUGCCAGUGGCUGCGAUGGAGCAGUCCCUGUGGGGAAAGACAGUUGACCCUCAGACAAACGCCUGUGCAAAACCCUGCAGAGGGCACCCUGGGGAUACUGGUAUCAAACCUGAGAUGCUCACAUGAACCCCACUUGCCUCUUGGGCCUUUUGUCCCACCCAUACCCGUGGGGGUCUAGGUGGCAACCACGAGGGGACCUAAGCUUCUCCUGCCACAGGGUCUUUGUACAGGUGGAGUGGUCAGGGCCACGAUGGAGGUAGCGCUGGGCUGAGCGGUCAGGGCUUGGAUAAGGAAAGAAGUUACCAACCACGAACUCUCAACUCCAAAUCCAAUCAGAAAAACUCACUUAUUGUGGGUGUCUGAGGGUGUUUUCCCAGCUUCCUCAUCCAGACGCUCCCUAGAGGCAGAAGAGAUCUCUCAGCUCAGGGUUCCAGGGCCCCAGAGAAGGAAGGCACCGAGCAGCCUCCCCAUUAAGCACCUUCCUCCCCAAGUCAGCCUGUGGGGUCCCACCCAAUCCACCCAGGAUCAGAGGGCCCAACCUGCCAGGGUGCCCGGCCCUGUGACCCCACGCUGGCCUACCUGUCCAUGUGACUCUUCUCCAGCAGACACUGCAAGACAGCAUCCAGUUGGUUCCGGGCUUUGGCCAUCUCCAGCUCUGGGGCAAGAGAGGACCCAGCAGGAGUCAGCUCCCAGGCCCCAGCUAGGUGGGCAGCUGACUGGGCCAGGGAAGGGCAUGCGUGUCCUCUGCCCCGGCCAAUCUCAGAGCCAGGCCCAGGCAGCCUGAAAGGGUGCAACAGGCAGAGAUGGCUGGAGUGAUGCCCAGAGCUCUGAGUUCCAGAGCUGUCCCACCUGAUCGCUCUGUGACAGGAGACAACACUUCCUUCAGAAAACGGGAAACUUCCAUUUGUCACACGUCUUGGUCCAGAUAAAUCCCAGGAAAUAGCAUCGUGAUCUACACUUCUGAUGAGAAUACUGCAGCCCACAGUAGGAAAGUUAUAUUUUUGAAUUCACGACUACCAGUACAGGAUAACAGCCCCUAGAAAUGGAAGCACUAGGCCGAUCCUACCACUGCACUCCAGCCUGGGUGACAGAGCAAGACUCUGUCUCAAAAAAAAAAAAAAAAGAAAAGA